Molecule: ribosomal RNA, 484 nt
Filed under: uncultured bacterium
Lineage: Bacteria
Description: partial 16S ribosomal RNA
Rfam family: Bacterial small subunit ribosomal RNA
Source: RNAcentral
AUUGAACGCUGGCGGCAGGCCUAACACAUGCAAGUCGAGCGGAUGAAGGGAGCUUGCUCCUGGAUUCAGCGGCGGACGGGUGAGUAAUGCCUAGGAAUCUGCCUGGUAGUGGGGGAUAACGUCCGGAAACGGGCGCUAAUAUCGCAUACGUCAUGAGGGAGAAAGUGGGGGUUCUUCGGACCUCACGCUAUCAGAUGAGCCUAGGUCGGAUUAGCUAGUUGGUGGGGUAAAGGCCUACCAAGGCGACGAUCCGUAACUGGUCUGAGAGGAUGAUCAGUCACACUGGAACUGAGACACGGUCCAGACUCCUACGGGAGGCAGCAGUGGGGAAUCUUGGACAAUGGGCGAAAGCCUGAUCCAGCCAUGCCGCGUGAGUGAAGAAGGUCUUCGGAUUGUAAAGCACUUUAAGUUGGGAGGAAGGGAAGUAAGUUAAUACCUUGCUGUUUUGACGUUACCAACAGAAUAAGCACCGGCUAACUUCGUG